ACUGUUAGUAUCUAUAUAUCUAUAUUUAAAAGACAUUAAGAUUAACUACUUCGGUGUUUGGAUAUUUUCCAAAAGUUUGAACAUGAUCGUUUUGGAAAUGGCGAUAUAAUAUCAAAAUUUGAUAAAAAGUUGUCAACAUGUCUGAAAACGAAAACACUUGUGACCUUUGUUAUGAGGAUUUCGACAGAGACAACCACGAACCAAGGAAACUGCCAUGCUGCCAUACAUACUGUUCACAAUGUUUGGAUAGAAUGGUGUCACGAAAUGCAUCUAUCACAUGCCCAAAUGAUCGUACAAUUCACACAUUAGGAGGUCUUGGUGUUUUCGGUUUACCUCUAGAUUCAUCUAAACUCGCAGACAUUGAUAAAAGAGAAGUAACAUCUCCUGUAGGAAGUAUAAACUUCAGCAGCGACUUUGUAGAUCCGUCUAGACCGACCACAGCAUGGUCAUAUAGACACGCACAAAAUCAUGUCAAUAAAAGUCCCACACCAGCUCUAUCUCACCGUGAACGAUACAAUAUACCACAAUCAACUGGCAACAAUAAUCACACGAUGCCGUAUCCCAAUAUGUCGUAUAAUUACAAUACACAAUUUCAUGGUUUGUCACAAAUUCCUAUAUAUGGUCAGCAUAUAACACCAAGUGGGUGGCAGUCUCCAAAUCAGUGGAGUUAUCAUUUCAAUAAUACCAGCCAGUUUCAUCAGCCAAUGAUGACGACCUCUACAACUGUUACACAAGCUGGGAACAGUGAACAAAACAUCAUAGUAUGUUCUCCUGAUGGACAAAUAGUAAUAAGUCAGGGUGGAAAUAACCAGUUGGUUAAUUUUGUUCAUUUCUAAAUAAAAAUCAGAAUAAAGCAAAUAUGUGAACAAUUCUUUCAUACAUAAAUAGUCGAUUUUUUAAAAAUCUAUGUAUAUAAUGUAUCUUAUUUUAUGUUUGUUUAUUUGAUUAACAUUGGUUUUAUAUUUACGGUCGCUCAUUUUAGAUUAAAACGUUAAUUAUU
This is a long non-coding RNA of Mytilus californianus (California mussel), 1000 nucleotides long. RefSeq lists it as uncharacterized. Lineage: Eukaryota; Metazoa; Mollusca; Bivalvia; Mytilida; Mytilidae. The transcript has 3 exons. The record is from RefSeq and is a predicted model, not a curated record.